This 433-nucleotide ribosomal RNA is filed under the name uncultured bacterium. RNAcentral describes it as "bacterial SSU rRNA". It matches the Rfam family "Bacterial small subunit ribosomal RNA", at positions 29 to 507 of the family's 1533-position model. The record is from RNAcentral.
AACGAACGCUGGCGGCAGGCCUAACACAUGCAAGUCGAACGCCGUAGCAAUACGGAGUGGCAGACGGGUGAGUAACACGUGGGAACGUACCUUUCGGUUCGGAAUAACUCAGGGAAACUUGAGCUAAUACCGGAUACGUGCGAGAGCAGAAAGAUUUAUCGCCGAAAGAUCGGCCCGCGUCCGAUUAGCUUGUUGGUGAGGUAAUGGCUCACCAAGGCGACGAUCGGUAGCUGGUCUGAGAGGAUGAUCAGCCACACUGGGACUGAGACACGGCCCAGACUCCUACGGGAGGCAGCAGUGGGGAAUAUUGGACAAUGGGUGAAAGCCUGAUCCAGCCAUGCCGCGUGAGUGAUGAAGGCCUUAGGGUUGUAAAGCUCUUUUGUCCGGGAAGAUAAUGACGGUACCGGAAGAAUAAGCCCCGGCUAACUUCGUG